This is a long non-coding RNA of Felis catus (domestic cat), 6196 nucleotides long. RefSeq lists it as uncharacterized. NCBI's taxonomy places the organism in Eukaryota, Metazoa, Chordata, Mammalia, Carnivora, Felidae. The transcript is spliced from 5 exons. The record is from RefSeq and is a predicted model, not a curated record.
CCAAGCAGGCUCCACACUGUCAAUGCAGAGCCUGACAAGGGGCUCCAUCUCACGACUGUGAGAUCAUGACCUGCGCCAAAAUCAAGAGUUGGCUGCUUAACCGACUGAACCACCCAGUUGCCCCGAGGGCAUCCUCUUCUUAAAUUCAGAGCUGCUGUUCAGAAACAUAGUCUUCCUGGUACAUGAGGACUGGAGUCUGUAAGUUCACACAGAGCUGUGAAGAUGCCUGGGGUCCAAAACACCCAAGGAGAACACAGAGGCCUGGCCAAUGCCAUUCUAGCAUCUGGUGUCCAUUGUUCAACCAAGGGAGUUUGUUUGAACAAAAGAAUCCUCUCACCAGUCGGUGUUAGGAAAAAUUAAGUAGCAUUCUUUUUUAAAUUUUUUUUAAUGUUUAUUUUUUUGAGAGAGACAGAGCACAAGUAGGGGAGAGGCAGAGAAAGAGGGAGACACAGAAUCCGAAGCAGACUCCAGGCUCUGAGCUGUCAGCACAGAACCCGAUGUGGGGUUCGAACCCACGAACCUCAAGAUCAUGGCCUGAGCCGAAAUCGGACACUCAACCGACGGAGCCACCCAGGUACCCCAAGUAGCAUUCUUUUCAAAGACAUCCUUGAAAACCAUCUCUUUCCUUUGCCUUGAUUCUGCUUAUAUGAAAAAGAACUUUUGAAUGGGGAAUAUUUGUACAUGUAACCAAUUUUAAAGGUAAUGAAGUUAAAAGGUACAAAACACUAUACAAUGAAAAAAAUCUCUUAUCUUUGUUCCCUGAAGAUCCAGUUUCCUCCAACAGAAGCAACCACCAUUACUUGUUCCUCUCGCACCCUUCCGGAGAGAAUACAAGGAUAUCCAAGCAUAUGAGAAGACUGGGACCCAGACAGCUAAAGGGACUUGCCCAAGGUGACACAUCUCCAUAGUGUCAAAGUCUCCAGGCCUCUCACCCCAGAGUGACUUGGUAACAGCCUUUUCCACCCCCAAGCCCUCAAGUGUUCGUGAGUUCUCAAAGAAUUUGGAAAAUCAAUGUGCUGUUAUUCUAAUUUUGGUCUAUCUGCAUAUGUGACUUUGUGCUUUGGUGCUAAGAAUAGAAGACAUCAAAAUAGUGCUCUCAGCAACGCUGAGUGUACAGAAAAUUGAAGCGGAAAUGGAAAGGGUGCCCUCAGAGAGGAUGUCACAUCACCAGACUUUGGUUUUGAAGCCACCAGAAAGCAGAGAGAAGCUGUUUUUUUGAAGAGAAUUUCUUCAGCUACUGAAGGUUGGCUGAGUGUGCAUUAAGGCCUGAGCAGCAAUGCCACAUGCCUGGCAGAUGAUGGGCUCUGACCCAAAGAUAUGAGGUUACAGCUCUGGGGCAGACGAGCAGCCUGAGCUCUUUUCUCUGCCUGAUGGCCCCAGUGCCCGACUCUCUGAGGAAAUGAACAGAUGGUCACUGCAAGAGUCACUGAAUCUCCACAUUCAUUCAUUUUUUGGCGACCUUGGCCAGCCUCGGAACAGUCAGUCAAAUCUGCAUAAGGAAGCCGGCGGUAAUGGGGCUCGUGGGCACAGGUACUCAUCUGACACCUAAUUAAGCCAUCUUGGUAUAUCAUCUCUACAAUGCCUGUUAUUAUUUUAAGAAACAACAUAAAGAGAAUGAUAAUUAAAAGUAACACCCCGGGUGGGAAUUUUGUCUCCAUUCCAGUGGUUGGCAAGUAAAGCACCCUGGGUUUUUUUGUUUUGUUUUGUUUUUUUUCGGUUUUUUUUUGAGGUAACAUUUCUAUAAAUUUUCAUAGAGCACACAACCUCAAAGCUUGUCUCUGCUGCAGUUUCCCCCGAUUUCUCUGCCAAUGCUUUGGGUUUGUGGCUUCGUUCCACUGCUGUUUCCUUUCUUUUUUUCUUCUCCUUUUCACUGAGCGUUUUCUGAUUUUACUUGAACUUGCAAUGGGGGAGGGGAGGGUGUAUUGCUUCUGGAUAUUACAUGUCAUCUGAAGCAUAAAAUGCUAAACCCAGUUACAUGUUGUUUUCAGGUGAGAAGGCAAUUUUACACUUCACGGUUGGGCCCACACGAGGCAUUUUCAUGCAGGGAAAUUUUCCAUCCUAGACUCACAUCAAGAUGGCGCCCAGGGAUUUGCUACCAGUUGAAAGUUUGCCCAUUGUCUGUCUGCAGCCUUCCCACAUGGGCAUUCUUGAUAGACCUGUUCUCCAGAGUGCCACUAUCUACCCCUGGUCUUCAGGUUCCCCUGACAUAGCGUCAGUCAGGUCCCUGUGUCCUUUGCUACCUGCCUGGGUCCCGUGUCUACGACUUGAGCCACUUUGGUUAGUAACACUCUUACUGACCUGCCAUACACCCUGUCCUCUUGUCCCUUGUACCAGACCAAACCCCACCUUUGGAUCAUCCCACAAUCCACCUUCUCUGCUCCUGACGUGAAUCUGGAGAAAACUCCCAGUAGCACCAACUGAGGCCACCACCGAUUCCUGAUCACAAUCCUCACCUGGCAUCCUUUGACAAACACUUUACUUGCCCUCAAUCGUCUCCUUUGCCCCUAAAAACCCUCUUCCUUGACCCUGUAUCUCCACCUCAUGGAAACACCCCGUCUUCUUCCUUUCACAGAUUUCUGAAAGUGUAUCCAACACCAGCGGCUCCCAUGAGCUCAGUAGGUAGCUUAUACAGAUUCCCAGGCCCCACACUAAAGCAAAUCUCUGAGGUGGGGCCUGAGAUUUGUAUUCAAGAACGCUGUCUUCAUUGGGAACUACUCAUCGGCCUAUACUCUCUGACUUUCCUUCCUCACUUUCAGUGGCUUCUCCAGCUGUCACAGCCUGGCUUCUACCCUCACCACUCUGUGAAAUGAGGUCAGCAGGAACAGCCACGACAGCCCGCACACUCCCAGGUCUCCCCAGAGAGAGUACUCUCUGGAGUACUGAUGUUCUUGGUCACUCCAAGACUUCCGGUCACCUCCUCUCUUCCUUUGCCUUCUACUUCUGACCAUCUCCCUCAGCGCCUUUUGUGUAAGCUUUUCUUGCACCUUAAAUACUGGCGGUGUUUUCACAAGUGCAUCUCGCACUCCUUGUUGCUAGAUCCUCAGAGACACUAAGAAACUUCUCGAAGCUCAAGGUGAUCUUGAGAAAGCCUCCUCCUACCGUUGCCUCUUUCACUGUCCUAACUACCUCAGAUUCUUCACUGCCUGUGAGCUUCUCAAGGGCAGAGACUGUUCAGUCAUCUUUCCAUGGUCAGUGCCUCAGGAAGCAUGUAGCAAUUAGGAGGCACUCCAUAAAUGUUAGCUGAACUAAGUACAAGUCUGCUCCGAGUACUCGCGUGAAUCAGCCUUGGGCCCAUGGUGCGAAGCUCAAAGUUACCUCUCAGCCCCUUCAGAACAGGGUGACCUUGGAGGUAUGAAUUAGAGCCAGCCCCUGUCCAGACCUGGGGUGGGGAGGGGUGGGUGUUAAACAGCGGUUCUCCAAAGGUGGUAGUCAGAGCUCUAGCAAAUAACAUCUCUUCUGGCAAAUUUACUUGUUGUUAGUCUCAAAUGUUCAUAGGAAUGACAUCAUGCCUGGCCAAGUGCUAAUUUCUAAGCUUUCUUCCUGCCAAAUUUCCACCAUGCUGGCUCAUGCUUGCCAAUCUCGUAGCAGUGAUGUGUUUUCUAGCAGGGAACACAAGUAUUGCUUUGGGAGUUAUUCUGGAGCCUCAUAAAACUGUUCUUGGGGCCCCUUUAUAGAGAAGGAUUCCAUAAUGCACCCGGUUGGAGAGUGUUAUUGCUAUCAGGAGAGGUCCUUACAGUUUCUGUAGUGAACAUCCUUGAAUACUGUCUAAGAUGGACCUGUCAUUGAAGAAACAUCUCUAACUAACACCCCAUAAGUUCCAAUAUCAUGUUUCGGGUUUUUAGCGUCAUUCAAACCCUUUCCUGAAUAACACCAGUCUUAUUUCUUUGAGCACAGGACCUGUACUAUAUUCAUGGCUGUAGGUUCUCCACACAAGCAGGGCAUAUCUGUUUUGUUCAGCAUUGCUUCCCUGGGGCUGGCAUAGCACCCAGCAUAUAGCAAGUACUUGGUGUCAGUUGGUGAUGGAGAACGGAAAAAGAAGAAACUUGGGGAGCAGACUCACGGCUGGAGGUGCUUGUCUCCAGAACUGUGGAGCUGAAGGUGACAACCAGGACACCAUGCUCUGGCUUCCUGCUUACAGUGAGGCCCCAGGGUUCCUGCCUGCUCCUACCCUCCAUGGACUGAUGGCCAGGCCUGGAGUCUUGACGGCACCAAGGGCUGGUGGAUAUUGAAAGGCAAGUUCAUUCAUCUGGUCAGGCAGGAACUGGAAAGCUGCCCAUCCAACCCCCACCCCUGGCUGCUGUUUCUCCUCCAGACGGAAACUUGGGGAAAUUUCUUUCCUUCUGGGUGUGCCGUCUCCUUCCUCUAGCUAAUCUUCUCGCUUCCUUCCAAAACUGUAUUGGUGAUGAAUUAGCAAAAUAAAAAAAUUUAAAGCCACCCUGAAGAUUACAAAAAGAAAAACAUACUACUGCUAAAUCUCUAAAACAAUGGCUGUCUUUGUAUACAAUGAUACAUAGUAGGAUAACCAUAAACUAUCAUUUCCUUAAGAGAGGAGAGAAGACCAGACCCUCUGUGGACCAAGGUGAUGUGAUCAACUCAUACAGGGUUUUACACAGAAUUUCAGGGGCCCGUGAAUCCCCUGAAGAUCUCUCAUCAUCUUCCCAGGCAUACACGUAUGGACCCUGGUUAUGAAUACCUAGGUUAGAGAUUCCACGGGGUCAGUAGAAACUGACAGGACCUCAGAGUUCAAGUGAUGUGACCCUCAUCUGAUGAGAGUUAGCAGAUUAGGUAUGAGGCCCAGAGAGUGUUCCUGGCUGACUCAAAGAGCGCACAGCUGGUGGACAGCAGAAGGGAGACCUUCACCUAGGUUUUCUGAAUCCUGGUCACCCUGCAAUAUUGUGUUAAUAUGCUCUGUGGAAAACAAAUGUCAAGAAGGGAGAAGAAUGGAGAGAGACUGAGUAUAGGGAAAGGAAGGAAUAUCUGUUCCUAGAAUGUACAGACUGGCUAUUACUGGGUUUCAUUUUUGUGUUUGGCAGAGUUUUCCAGCUUCGAGCCAAAGAGACCAAGCCUGAAGCUCCCUUCCAGCCCCCUACUUCAGACCUGUAACUGAAUCCUGACAGGUCAUCUCAGGCAGACCAGUGAAGGGGAAGAUAAGAAAGAAGAAAAGCAAAGAUGCUGGAGUCUUGCAGCCUAACAACACACGAGACACACGAGGGAUAUUGUUUGCCUGGAAGCCUCCGGGGAUGGCAAAAUGGCAGAAAUUUCCAGUGGGGAAAAUGUGGGGUGGGGGGGUGGGGGUGCUAAAUUAUUUGAAUGGGACCCUUUGAAGGCUUCUGCUACCCCUACACCUGCUGAGGCUUUCCACUGAGCUUUGGGAAAAGGCUAGCUUUUCAUAGCAGAGCAGAGAAAGGGGGAGAAUGAAGGAGGCACGUAAUGCAGGCUGUUGUCUUCUGUGUUUUACUGACUGAAAGGGCUGAAGACAUUUUAUAUGCUCCAAGUUGCCAACAGGAAGAAAGGGAGCUCGAGAUUCUCAGAGGUCUGAGGGCCCUGCCUGAGGUAGAGGUCUAUUUUUUUUUUUUUUUUUAACAUUUAUUUUUGAGACAGAGAGAGACACAGCAUGAACGGGGGAGGGGCAGAGAGAGAGGGAGACACAGAAUCGGAAGCAGGCUCCAGGCUCUGAGCCAUCAGCCCAGAGCCCGACGGCGGGGCUCGAACUCACGGACCGCGAGAUCGUGACCUGAGCUGAAGUCGGACGCUUAACCGACUGAGCCACCCAGGCGCCCCUGAGGUAGAGGUCUAAAUGGAGGCUAUAUGUUUAAGACAAGGGGAUUUCAUGAUAUGUGCUUGCUUUGGCUCCCUAAAAGUGUAUGCCAAGGUAUCCCUUUCCUUUCUGUGUGACAACGCCAGAUCAGUAACAAACAAAAUGGAGGAUAAGACUCCACCCCUCCCCCAAACACACACAGGGGAAGGUCCCCUUUUACUGAGUACCUCAGCCACAGUAUUAACAACUGCUGUAAAAGAAGAGGUGCUACUUUCUCAUGACAAUGGGUUUUCCCUUCACCUGAAAAAUUAUUUACCGAAUAUCUAUAACCAAGGUGGAAAAUCACCUGCAAAGUUUAGACCUACAUCAGCAUUUCCCUCAAAAAUAGUUUUUAUAAAGGGCAAACAAAAAGAAGGAGUUGAAAGACAAACACAAGUA